RNAcentral lists this ribosomal RNA (468 nucleotides) under uncultured bacterium. Its description in RNAcentral is "partial 16S ribosomal RNA". It matches the Rfam family "Bacterial small subunit ribosomal RNA", at positions 28 to 507 of the family's 1533-position model. The record is from RNAcentral.
GACGAACGCUGGCGGCGUGCUUAACACAUGCAAGUCGAACGGAAAGGCCCUGCUUUUGUGGGGUGCUCGAGUGGCGAACGGGUGAGUAACACGUGAGUAACCUGCCCUUGACUUUGGGAUAACUUCAGGAAACUGGGGCUAAUACCGGAUAGGAGCUCCUGCUGCAUGGUGGGGGUUGGAAAGUUUCGGCGGUUGGGGAUGGACUCGCGGCUUAUCAGCUUGUUGGUGGGGUAGUGGCUUACCAAGGCUUUGACGGGUAGCCGGCCUGAGAGGGUGACCGGCCACCUGGGGCCUGAGAUACGGCCCAGACUCCUACGGGAGGCAGCAGUGGGGAAUAUUGCACAGUGGGCGGAAGCCUGAUGCAGCAACGCCGCGUGCGGGAUGACGGCCUUCGGGUUGUAAACCGCUUUCGCCUGUGACGAAGCGUGAGUGACGGUAAUGGGUAAAGAAGCACCGGCUAACUACGUG